UUCCACUAAAACCUCGGUGACUGCAUGAUUAUCCCUUUUGACCAUCCGCCUGUCCAGGAUCUUGGUUGGCACUUUCAGUAGAGUGCCUUCAGAGCCGACUAAGGGUAGUAAUGGAGAAUGAGGUGCUCGACCAAUAUGUUUUUUCAGUUGUGACACGUGGAAGGUAGGGUGAAUUCUUGAGCCAACAGGUAAGGAUAGCCUAUAGGCAAUUCGUCCCACUUUAGCUUCAAC
This 231-nucleotide long non-coding RNA is filed under the name Gossypium barbadense (sea-island cotton). RNAcentral's name for it is "long non-coding RNA (GBAR_LNC020134)". Lineage: Eukaryota; Viridiplantae; Streptophyta; Magnoliopsida; Malvales; Malvaceae. The record is from RNAcentral.